UACGGGGGGGGCAAGCGUUGUUCGGAAUUACUGGGCGUAAAGGGCGCGUAGGCGGCUUUUCAAGUCGGGCGUGAAAUCUCCAGGCUUAACCUGGAAGGGUCGUUCGAUACUGUUAAGCUAGAGUGUGGAAGAGGCUACUGGAAUUCCGUGUGUAGCGGUGAAAUGCGUAGAUAUUGGGAAGAACACCGGUGGCGAAGGCGGCGCUCUGGACCGAGACUGACGCUGAGGCGCGAAAGCGUGGGGAGCAAACAGG
This 253-nucleotide ribosomal RNA is filed under the name uncultured bacterium. RNAcentral's name for it is "partial 16S ribosomal RNA". It matches the Rfam family "Bacterial small subunit ribosomal RNA", at positions 524 to 776 of the family's 1533-position model. The record is from RNAcentral.